AGCACACCAUGUUUUACAAAAGUCUAAGAUAGUCUCCAUGGCAGAAAUACUUAUUACUUUGUAACCUAAUAGUUAUUUGUGUUGCCUUUUAGUGAGGAAAUGCGGGGAGGGUAAAACUGAAUCUGUUCAGGUUUAAACAUUCACUGAUACUUUUUUUUUUUUCAGUAUUGUACAAGCUUAGCUGGGGAAAAUAUGUACAUUCGUUUUGAAGCCAUAAUCUUACUUUCAGUUGGUAUGCCGGUCCAUUGUGUAAAUACGAAUUUUUAAGCAAUUUAGCAUUUCAUCGAAGUAACAGGGCACUUGAUUUUCUUUCAUCCAUAUGAAAACAGUUAGGAAAAAGUGCCACUUAUCUUAAAUAGUAUUUGUCAGAUUUUCUUCAUCAAACUUGGUAAAUACAGAUC
Molecule: non-coding RNA, 401 nt
Organism: Callorhinus ursinus (northern fur seal)
Lineage: Eukaryota; Metazoa; Chordata; Mammalia; Carnivora; Otariidae
Source: RefSeq, a predicted model, not a curated record